UUUCCGUAGGCGAACCUGCGGAAGGAUCAUUCAUAAUAAGUGUUUUAUGGCACUUUUUUAAAUCCAUAUCCACCUUGUGUGCAAUGUCAGGGUUGGUCUCUUUUGAUCAGCCCCAAACAUCAACUAUUAUCUCUACUCUUUGUCUGAGAAAUAUUACGAAUAAAACAAUUCAAAAUACAACUUUCAACAACGGAUCUCUUGGCUCUC
This 207-nucleotide unclassified non-coding RNA is filed under the name plant metagenome. RNAcentral's name for it is "partial contains small subunit ribosomal RNA, internal transcribed spacer 1, and 5.8S ribosomal RNA". The record is from RNAcentral.